Long non-coding RNA from Amphimedon queenslandica, 797 nucleotides. RefSeq lists it as uncharacterized. The record is from RefSeq and is a predicted model, not a curated record. The transcript has 7 exons. Lineage: Eukaryota; Metazoa; Porifera; Demospongiae; Haplosclerida; Niphatidae.
UGCCACCCUCUCGCUUACGUUGCUUCUAAACUAGCACUGGGAUGUCUCCUAUUGGAACUAUUGAUUUCAGUUACCACAGCACUACAGCUUGUUUUGAACCAUCCCUGGAUUACAUUGUGGUGAAAAUAACAGUUGGGAUCUCUCCAAGUUUACCCAAGUUAGCAUUGAGAUUGGUAGCAGCAUGAAGAGGAGGAGAAGUCAUGGCAGUUGAAGGAAAUUUGAGGAGGCACUGCAGAUAAGGAUGGUCAAUGAGUCUUGUCUUGGGUUUGAUCCUAAAUUCUUACAACUUAGAAAAGAAGAUCUCAAUCAUUGAACUGACAAGCAUAUUUUAGAGUAGCAGCUGCUUUGGACUCCAUUGAUGAGUUGUACCUGCUAACAUGUAUUGAGAAAUGGUUCCUUUGCAGAAAGAAGAAUAUCGUUGACUGUAAUAAAUUGCUAGGAAAACAUGACCAAUAGGCACUGCCCCAAAUUCCAUCCUAUUAUGCUUUGAAAUGAAUCCAAUUAUGCUCAUUAUUAUGCUCAUACGUGUGUGUAGUUUAAGCUGUUUUAUGAUCUUUGUUUGGAUGCUAGGUUUUACUCAGACUCAGAGGAUUAGUCCUGUCAGCCCAAAGACCCUGUCUCUCUCUCCACAGCACUUCUUCCUUCAUCUCCUCUUAAAUUCUACCGCUGACUUGUUGCUAAGGAAACAGACCCCACCCAGCAACACUAACCUAGUGCUGUGGGAAAGGUGCACGGAACAUUUUAAUUUUUUAUCUCACCUCGUAAAAGAUUAUUAGUAUCUGAAGAGGAGUCUCUAC